UACAGAGGUCUCAAGCGUUGUUCGGAUUCAUUGGGCGUAAAGGGUGCGUAGGUGGCGCCAUAAGUCAGGUGUGAAAUCUCGGGGCUCAACCUCGAGACUGCACUUGAUACUGUGGUGCUUGAGUACUGGAGAGGAGAUUGGAAUUUACGGUGUAGCAGUGAAAUGCGUAGAUAUCGUAAGGAAGACCAGUGGCGAAGGCGAAUCUCUGGACAGUUACUGACACUGAGGCGCGAAAGCUAGGGGAGCAAACGGG
Molecule: ribosomal RNA, 253 nt
Filed under: uncultured bacterium
Lineage: Bacteria
Description: partial 16S ribosomal RNA
Rfam family: Bacterial small subunit ribosomal RNA
Source: RNAcentral